AAAGAUAUUUUAAUGGUUGACAUGAUGAAAAAGAAACCUAAAUACAUUUGAUUAAAGUUGAGAUAUGGUGUUCUGCAGAUGAUUUCAGAAAGACAUUGUUAGGACAUUGCUUUAGGAUACACACAAUUCUUUAUUUUUUACUGAGUAAUCAGCAAAUUUGAGAUCAGAAAAUCAAAUGUAAGCCAUUGUUCUGUGCAAUUUUGAGGAUACUCUGAAUAUAUUAAUGAAGUGUACUCUUCAUUUUAUAACACCUAUACUUUAUUGUUUUAUUGAAGUUGUUUAAAACUGAUGAUUUACAGUAUGAGCUUUCUUCACAAUCAUAGAUAAAAAUAUUGUAUUUAUGAAUUCUUUUAGAUGAAGAGUGGUUAGAACAUUUAUGAUUCUUGCACAGGAAUGUAUCCUUUCACGAGAUUAUUGCUUUGGAGUAAAUAUUAGACUGUUAUUAUAAAAGAGAUACUUAGUUUAAUCCAAUCCUUCCAAAUAUUUAGAUGUUAUUGACAUGCAUAUUUUCUUUUAAAGAUGGUCUUGUGAAAAUUGAUAAGCUAGAAACAAUUUUCUUUUGCCAAUGGAACUGUGGGAGCUUCUCUUGGACUUCAUGAGAUGGUAAUGAUGGGGCCUAAAAGGGAAGAGAAAUUAUCUAUGCCUUUGCCUUUCUUGAAUUCUAUCUCCAGAGAGUAAGAUAACAACUUAAUUUUAAGUCAGUGAUUCUCCAUUCCUACCUGUGGUCUUUUGGACACCCUUGCAGAAGAUCACUUCUUGGGAAUUCAUUUGAAGUGAAUGAUACCAGUAAAUCCUUGAAACAAGACUCUUCAGACAAAGGGGCUGUUGUCCAAAUGCUACCCUCUGAAGGUGAUGACCACAAAUGUGAGGCGGAUUUAUUACUGAGGGUGCCAUUACUUCUACUACAAGCUUCACCAAAACAAUGAUACAGUCUUCUUUAUGCUUGGAGACUCGUCUCUUUCCUGUGUUGCAGUGGACACCUCCUGCAGAUAAGAAAUGCUUAACUGAGAAAUGCUCAUGUUGGGAUAUCAUCGAUGAGACUUUAAUUUGGGCAUGGUGACUGUUUCCCUUGCUGCCACUUGACUCAAUCCCAGGAGCCUCAGUAGAGGAAAUAUUAUUGCACAAGAAUCUCAAAAUGAUGGAAUUGCUCAGUGCUCCCAUAAAUAUACAUUUAUAAUUUCCAUUUGCCAUAUGGUAAAAUUUAAAUAUUGGAUAUAUUGAAAAGAAACUACACAAUUUUUUUCAAAACUUCAAAGUGUAUCUAAAUAUCUAAUAUAUAAAUUAAGUUCCCUCCUCCCUCCCAAUUCUACCCCCCCAAAGUUUUCUUCUAUUAAGGGAGUUGUGUGCAUUCUUUAAGUGGAUAGAUGCACACAUACAGUCACACAGACACAUACACACAAACUAUUUUGAGGGGUUCUGGAAGUAGGGCCAUAUUGUACACAUUCUUCUGCAAAUUGUCUUUCAUUUAACAGUUUUAAUACCCUUUUCUAUUUCAGUAAUACACAUCUGUGUCAUUUGUUGAAUGACUGCACGACUGUUUUGUAGGUGAAAUAUAAUUAAAUGUUAUAAGCAUUUCUCAUUCAUAGAUAUUUAUGUUAGCACCAAAUUUCUGUGCAAUGAAACUCCCUAUCAAUAAUUCUGCACUUGUCUAUUAUAUCAUAAUAAAUUACUUAGCAGUUCAAAUACUGGGAUUAAGGAUAUGCACAUUUCAAAUUAUUACAAGAUUUCCUUAAAAUGUGGUGACAACUUUAUCCUCAAAUGGCAAUGAAUGAGAUUGCCAGCUUUCCCCACAACUUCACAGAUAAUGGAUUUUAUAAAUAUUUAAUUUUUUUGCCAAUGUGAUAGCCCAAACUAUUGUCUUAAACUGUAUUUCUUUUGUUUUUGAGUUUGAUCAUUUUUUCAUGUUUAUUAGCC
Long non-coding RNA from Lynx canadensis (Canada lynx), 1914 nucleotides. RefSeq lists it as uncharacterized. NCBI's taxonomy places the organism in Eukaryota, Metazoa, Chordata, Mammalia, Carnivora, Felidae. The transcript is spliced from 4 exons. The record is from RefSeq and is a predicted model, not a curated record.